Musca domestica (house fly) is the source of this 305-nucleotide long non-coding RNA. RefSeq lists it as uncharacterized. The record is from RefSeq and is a predicted model, not a curated record. The transcript has 2 exons. NCBI's taxonomy places the organism in Eukaryota, Metazoa, Arthropoda, Insecta, Diptera, Muscidae.
AGUGUGUGUUCACAACUUGGUAAGGAAAAGUGAAUCGCCAACAUCUUCUUUAUAGCAAAAGUAGCAGCAACAACAAUCCAGACAACAUUCAUAAAAAUUUGUAAGUUGCAGAUGGACGGACGGACGGAUAGUUGGUUGGACGAAUGGAUAGAUGGAUGAUGACCAGUCGUUUUAAGAUGAGCAACUUUUUGGGGUUCAGUCCGCUGUUGCCACAAGGAAUGUAAGAUGUGCAACUGAUUGCCAAGCAGGUUGCAACAUCUCGGCAGGAGUGCACUGUAACAAAUAACAAGAAGAUGAUGACGACG